AGCCUGAUGCAGCCAUGCCGCGUGUGUGAAGAAGGCCUUCGGGUUGUAAAGCACUUUCAGCGGGGAGGAAGGCGGUGAGGUUAAUAACCUCGUCGAUUGACGUUACCCGCAGAAGAAGCACCGGCUAACUCCGUGCCAGCAGCCGCGGUAAUACGGAGGGUGCAAGCGUUAAUCGGAAUUACUGGGCGUAAAGCGCACGCAAGCGGUCUGUCAAGUCGGAUGUGAAAUCCCCGGGCUCAACCUGGGAACUGCAUUCUAAACUGGCAGGCUAUAGUCUUGUAUAGGGGGGUAGAAUUCCAGGUGUAGCGGUGAAAUGCGUAGAGAUCUGGAGGAAUACCGGUGGCGAAGGCGGCCCCCUGGACGAAGACUGACGCUCAGGUGCGAAAGCCUGGGGAGCAAACAGGAUUAGAAACCGGGUAGUCC
Molecule: ribosomal RNA, 423 nt
Filed under: Klebsiella pneumoniae
Lineage: Bacteria; Pseudomonadati; Pseudomonadota; Gammaproteobacteria; Enterobacterales; Enterobacteriaceae
Description: bacterial SSU rRNA
Rfam family: Bacterial small subunit ribosomal RNA
Source: RNAcentral